UGAGGAAUAUUGGACAAUGGGCGAAAGCCUGAUCCAGCCAUGCCGCGUGAAUGAUGAAGGCCUUAGGGUUGUAAAGUUCUUUUAGCUGUGACGAUGAUGACGGUAGCAGCAGAAAAAGCCCCGGCUAACUCCGUGCCAGCAGCCGCGGUAAUACGGAGGGGGCGAGCGUUGUUCGGAUUUACUGGGCGUAAAGCGUGUGUAGGUGGUUUCCCAAGUAGGAAGUGAAAGCCCAGGGCUUAACCCUGGAACUGCUUUCUAAACUGGGUCACUAGAGUGUAGGAGAGGCAAACGGAAUUCCGAGUGUAGAGGUGAAAUUCGUAGAUAUUCGGAGGAACACCAAUGGCGAAAGCAGUUUGCUGGACUAAUACUGACACUGAGACACGAAAGCGUGGGUAGCAAA
This 400-nucleotide ribosomal RNA is filed under the name uncultured bacterium. RNAcentral describes it as "bacterial SSU rRNA". It matches the Rfam family "Bacterial small subunit ribosomal RNA", at positions 355 to 772 of the family's 1533-position model. The record is from RNAcentral.